AUACGGAGGAUCCGAGCGUUAUCCGGAUUUAUUGGGUUUAAAGGGUGCGCAGGCGGCCAUUUAUGUCAGCGGUUAAAUCGUGGGGCUCAACCCCACUCUGCCGUUGAUACUGGGUGGCUUGAUUGCGGUCGAGGUUGGCGGAAUUCGUUGUGUAGCGGUGAAAUGCAUAGAUAUGACGAAGAACACCGAUUGCGUAGGCAGCUGACCAGACCGCAAAUGACGCUCAUGCACGAAAGUGCGGGGAUCGAACAGGAUUAGAUACCCUGGUAGUCCGCACAGUAAACGAUGAAUACUUGUUUUCGGCGAUAUAAUGUCGGAGGCAAAGCGAAAGCGAUAAGUAUUCCACCUGGGGAGUACGCCGGCAACGGUGAAACUCAAAGGAAUUGACGGGG
RNAcentral lists this ribosomal RNA (392 nucleotides) under uncultured bacterium. RNAcentral's name for it is "partial 16S ribosomal RNA". It matches the Rfam family "Bacterial small subunit ribosomal RNA", at positions 523 to 918 of the family's 1533-position model. The record is from RNAcentral.